RNAcentral lists this long non-coding RNA (341 nucleotides) under Prunus dulcis (almond). Its description in RNAcentral is "sRNA ncRNA". The record is from RNAcentral. Lineage: Eukaryota; Viridiplantae; Streptophyta; Magnoliopsida; Rosales; Rosaceae.
UAUUUUGACCAAUCCCAAAAUUUUCCACCUGUUAAACAAUCAAUAAAUUCACACCAACUGCCAGAAUAUCUCAAGUAACCAAUCUCAAUUCUAGGUUCUCAGUUUCAACUAGAUAUCAGAGUAUUUUCUAAAUUUUUCAGGGUUGUAAGGAUUUUCUACAACACUCUACCUGACUUUGAGGCGCGGAAGCUAUGAAUGGCCCGGUGGUGGAUCCCGCGUACUUCUACGGCCUUGGGGCGAAAAACAGGUUGAAAAUGUGAGUGGACAAAAACAAUGUUCUUGAAAACAAUUUUUAUAAACAUAAUAACCCCCAUUAAAGAAAUAAGAAUAUAUCUAAAUCG